UUUACUUUAUUUUCUAAGUUUAACUUCUCUAUUUGACUUUGUUUCAGUUUCCAUUAUGCAUGUUAUUAUUUCUCUUCUCAAUGUGGCUUUAGCAGCCUACCACAAUAUAACUGGUGUCACUUAUCCAUUAUUAUUACUCUAUCUAUAAUUUCUUAAACAGCAUAUUAUUUUAGCUUUAAAAAUAUUAUUAAGAGAGUUAUUAAAUCUCCAUAUUGAAGUUCCUCGUAUACUUCCAAGAUCCAUUUCCAUUAUCAUUACUGCAUGAUAUACUACAGUUAUUGGUAAAAUUACAGUUCUUUACCCUUAACACAUCCUUUUUAAACAAAAAUAUAUUAUUAGCUUCAGGGUAAUAUCCAAACUCCUUAAUCUGUGGAUGAAUAAAAUGCCACACAUCUAUCAAUCCCAGCUCCACAUCUGCUUGAUGCAAAAGUGUAGCCACUUUUACUGAUUGUGAUUUCUUAUACACUGUAAAAACGACAACUCAAAAUUGUUCACCUUACUAAGAUUUUUGCAUUCAUUGACAAUAAAAUUGCUAGUUGGGACUUGAACUGAACUUGAACCAUCUGUUGUAAGUCACUUGAACUCACUUUCAGAUGUUUCUGAGGAAAAGUUCAUCUUAUUUUAUAAACUGAGUUGAUUUUAUUUUGAAGUUGUAGUUGACCCCCAGUUAGAGUGAGGUCAACUUAUCUGCGCAUGCUCAUUUGAUAUUUGUCAAGCAACCGGCUGACAGGGUUUCCAAGGAUUUUCCCAGGAGCUCUCUUCAAAAGUCGGAAAGUUUGCGUCCGCCAUCUCGUCACGAUGCCAGCGGCAGCGUAAACCAGCGGCCUCCCCGCAGCCCCACCACGGCUGUGCCCCUUCGCUCUGCAGACUGUCUGCGGCACGGAAACAGCAGCGACGCUCGGGCCGUGAGAGCGGUCUGUCUGCUGAUGGGUGGAGCAGCCGCAUCCUCGGCACUGGGAUACCUCAAUUCCUGUCCACCCUCCUCCUCCAACAUGGCCGUCCAUGCUCCUGAAGUGACCCACUCCACAGGAUUAUCAGAGAUGAGCGGAGGCAGCUCUUACCAUGCCUGCAGCCAAGCCAUAGAGUCACCGCAUUUUAACAGCUUCGACUUUGAGGGAGAUUCAGAUUUUGAUGCUUUUGACUGUGGAGGGUUUGCUUUUUAAUGGAAUAUGUUUACUUUAUUCGCAGGGUUCCCAGUCGUGGAAAUGUUAGGGAAUUAGAAAAUUUUUAUUUUAAGGACCAGAAAGGUAUGGAAAUGCAUAAACUCUUUAAAAAGUCAUGAAAAUUCCUGUGGGUAUAUGUCUUCAGGAUUGUAGACAUGUGUGCAGACUACUAUAUGUUUUUUAAUGCAUAGUAGUUAAAAGCAUCUGGAAAAAAAUCAUACACAUUUAUUGUCCAUAUGAUUUUGGAUGCUGCAUACUGUCAGGGAUUCUGCACGAUCACAAUCACCACCACAGUCACCAGCCCCUACACACACCUGAGUUUUGGUCACCCACACCUGCACUCUGUAAUCAAGACCUCUUCAUAAACCUCCACACUCAGUCUCCCAUUGUCUGAACUUCAAUUCACUUAUCUGACUCUCUCGUGGUACUAACCUGUCUGUAUUUAUCCCCAGACGCUCCAGUGCUCUCCCAAUCCUGUUUUCCUUGACUCCAGCACAAUUCCCGGUCAACCUUCAAAGGAUACUACACCAAUCACCUCAGAACCCAAUAACUGUUUGUGUUUCUACUCCCCUCUUGACUGUUCCUGCCAUUGCAUUCUGAAACUCAUUCAAUAAACAUACCUGUUAUUGGACUAAUCCUUUGUCUCCAGCCUGUGUUAUGACACAUACAAAGUUGUUUGUUAAUCUCUUUUCAGCAAAAGACAAAAAUAAUUACAAUUAGAAUAUGUGAAGAUGAAAAUGAUUAUAUUGGAAAAUGAAGCGUAUUUUUAGGAUCAUUAUGACUUUAUACAUUGUGAUUUAAUGUUCAUGAUAAUUUAUCACAUUCCUUUAAUACAAAAUAUUAUUUCUAAUAUUUUUCUUUUAAUUUUUGCACGAAAUAUGACCCAGAAAUCUCCUUGAAAGCUUUUGUGAGAAUCAUCCAGCGUGCCCCUUUUAACUUGUUCUGGCUAUUGUAUGUUUCAAAUAUAAUACACAUUAUGUUCCAAUAAUGUGUAGAGCUCUUAACCCUUAUUAUUAUUAUUUCUUAUUUAUCGAAUUGAAAUGAAAGUGUUAAAAAGUUUUAUAUGUCAGACAUUUGUGGAUAAAGUGAUGUAGUUUGUUUUGAUUACAAAAAUAGUCAUUAUUAUUAUUAUUAUAUUAUUACUACUGUAGGACUUUAAAAAGAUUUUAUUGUGACAAGAUUCAUUUACUUUUACAAUAUUUUUAAAAACUUCUCAUGUGCCCUUUUCUGUGACUUCUUCCCACUUUGCAUAAUUCUUGUUUGUAACAAAAUAGAUUUACAGAAUUAUUAUAUUCACUUUUUUUCCUAAUCUUUUUGCUCACAUACUUUCUCUGGG
RNAcentral lists this long non-coding RNA (2499 nucleotides) under Carassius auratus (goldfish). RNAcentral describes it as "lncRNA (ENSCARG00000005606.1)". The record is from RNAcentral. Lineage: Eukaryota; Metazoa; Chordata; Actinopteri; Cypriniformes; Cyprinidae.